GUGCCAGCCGCCGCGGUAAUACGUAGGUGGCAAGCGUUGUCCGGAAUUAUUGGGCGUAAAGCGCGCGCAGGUGGUUCCUUAAGUCUGAUGUGAAAGCCCACGGCUCAACCGUGGAGGGUCAUUGGAAACUGGGGAACUUGAGUGCAGAAGAGGAAAGUGGAAUUCCAAGUGUAGCGGUGAAAUGCGUAGAGAUUUGGAGGAACACCAGUGGCGAAGGCGACUUUCUGGUCUGUAACUGACACUGAGGCGCGAAAGCGUGGGGAGCAAACAGGAUUAGAUACCCCCGUAGUCC
This 292-nucleotide ribosomal RNA is filed under the name uncultured bacterium. Its description in RNAcentral is "partial 16S ribosomal RNA". It matches the Rfam family "Bacterial small subunit ribosomal RNA", at positions 505 to 796 of the family's 1533-position model. The record is from RNAcentral.